UUUCCGUAGGUGAACCUGCGGAAGGAUCAUUACUGAGUGAGGGCCUCCGGUCCGACCUCCAACCCUUUGUGAAUCUCGACCCUGUUGCCUCGGGGGCGACCCGGCCUUCGGGCGUCGGGGCCCCCGGUGGACCAUUCAACUCUGCAUCUUUGCGUCUGAGUCUUUAUAUGAAUUAAAUCAAAACUUUCAACAACGGAUCUCUUGGUUCUGGCAUCGAUGAAGAACGCAGC
This 230-nucleotide unclassified non-coding RNA is filed under the name uncultured fungus. RNAcentral's name for it is "sequence contains ITS1, 5.8S rRNA gene". The stretch from base 182 to 230 matches the Rfam family "5.8S ribosomal RNA", at positions 1 to 49 of the family's 154-position model. Lineage: Eukaryota; Fungi. The record is from RNAcentral.